Molecule: ribosomal RNA, 253 nt
Filed under: uncultured bacterium
Lineage: Bacteria
Description: partial 16S ribosomal RNA
Rfam family: Bacterial small subunit ribosomal RNA
Source: RNAcentral
GACGUAGGAUGCGAGCGUUAAUCGGAAUUACUGGGCGUAAAGCGUGCGCAGGCGGCUUUGCAAGACAGAUGUGAAAUCCCCGGGCUCAACCUGGGAACUGCAUUUGUGACUGCAUGGCUGGAGUGCGGCAGAGGGGGAUGGAAUUCCGCGUGUAGCAGUGAAAUGCGUAGAUAUGCGGAGGAACACCGAUGGCGAAGCCAAUCCCCUGGGCCUGCACUGACGCUCAGGCACGAAAGCGUGGGGAGCAAACAGG